RNAcentral lists this microRNA precursor (207 nucleotides) under Oryza nivara. RNAcentral's name for it is "MIR812 microRNA precursor family". It matches the Rfam family "MIR812 microRNA precursor family". The record is from Rfam by way of RNAcentral. Lineage: Eukaryota; Viridiplantae; Streptophyta; Magnoliopsida; Poales; Poaceae.
AAAAAGACAAACCCUGGGUUUCCGUGUCCAACGUUUGAUUGUCCGUCUUAUAUGAAAUUUUUUUAUAAUUAGUAUUUUCAUUGUUGUUAGAUGAUAAAACAUGAUUAAUACUUUAUGCGUGACUUGUCUUUUAAAUUUUUUUCUUAAUUUUUUCAAAUAAGACGGACGGUCAAACGUUGGACACAGAAACCUAGGGUUUGCCUUUUU